GAUGAACGCUAGCUACAGGCUUAACACAUGCAAGUCGAGGGGAAACGACAUCGAAAGCUUGCUUUUGAUGUGCGUCGACCGGCGCACGGGUGAGUAACGCGUAUCCAACCUGCCCAUCACUUGGGAAUAACCUUGCGAAAGUAAGACUAAUACCCAAUGAUAUCCCACGAAGGCAUCGGAAUGGGAUUAAAGAUUUAUCGGUGAUGGAUGGGGAUGCGUCUGAUUAGCUUGUUGGCGAGGUAACGGCCCACCAAGGCAACGAUCAGUAGGGGUUCUGAGAGGAAGGUCCCCCACAUUGGAACUGAGACACGGUCCAAAAUCCUACGGGAGGCAGCAGUGAGGAAUGUUGGUCAAUGGGCGAGAGCCUGAAACAGCCAAGUAGCGUGCAGGAAGACGGCCCUAUGGGUUGUAAACUGCUUUUAUAAGGGAAUAAAGUGGGUAACGUGUGACUUUUUGCAUGUACCUUAUGAAUAAGGACCGGCUAAUUCCGUG
This 492-nucleotide ribosomal RNA is filed under the name uncultured bacterium. RNAcentral describes it as "partial 16S ribosomal RNA". It matches the Rfam family "Bacterial small subunit ribosomal RNA", at positions 28 to 507 of the family's 1533-position model. The record is from RNAcentral.